Long non-coding RNA from Homo sapiens (human), 877 nucleotides. RefSeq lists it as uncharacterized. The record is from RefSeq and is a predicted model, not a curated record. The transcript has 3 exons. NCBI's taxonomy places the organism in Eukaryota, Metazoa, Chordata, Mammalia, Primates, Hominidae.
GCAUUCUCCCUCCUGUGCUCCCUAGCUUCAGCACCUAUCAGGGAACCCACGGCAAAUGAGCCAGCUGGAAAUGUGAUUUGCAGAGUUGCAGCCCCGGCACCACAGGGCCUCACAAAGUAGAACACAGAAGGGUUCUGCAGGAUAUACACGAAGUAUGGCACCAACAUCUGCUUCUGGUGAAGGCUUCAUGAAGCUUCCACCCAUGACAGAAGGCGAAGAACUGUUGCCAGCAUCAUGCUACAAGCCUGAAGGGAAGGUCUACUGACAGAGAAGGACAGAGACCAGGGAAACACAGAAAAGGAGAGACAAAGCCUUGACAUACCAAACCAGUGCCUGGCCUACCUAUGGACUUCUCAGUAUGUGAGAUUUAAAACACUGUAUUUUAUUUUAUUUAUUUAUUUAUUGUUAUUAUUAUUAUUAUACUUAAAGUUUUAGGGUACAUGUGCACAACAUGCAGGUUUGUUACAUAUGUAUACAUGUGCCAUGUUAGUGUGCUGCACCCAUUAACUUGUCAUUUAGCAUUAGGUAUAUCUCCUAAUGCUAUCCCUCCCCCCUCCCCCCACCCCACAACAGUCCCUGGUGUGUGAUGUUCCCCUUCCUGUGUCCAUGUGUUCUCAUUGUUCAAUUCCCACCUACGAGUGAGAACAUGCGGUGUUUGGUUUUUUGUCCUUGCGCUAGUUUGCUGAGAAUGAUGGUUUCCAGCUUCAUCCAUGUCCCUACAAAGGACAUGAACUCUUCCUUUUUAAUGGCUGCAUAGUAUUCCAUGGUGUAUAUGUGCCACAUUUUCUUAAUCCAGUUUAUCAUUGUUGGACAUUUGGGUUAGUUCCAAGUCUUUGCUAUUGUGAAUAGUGCCGCAAUAAACAUACAUGUGCAUGUG